AUUGAACGCUGGCGGAAUGCUUUACACAUGCAAGUCGAACGGCAGCACGGGUGCUUGUACCUGGUGGCGAGUGGCGAACGGGUGAGUAAUACAUCGGAACGUACCCUGACGUGGGGGAUAACGUAGCGAAAGUUACGCUAAUACCGCAUACGUCCUGAGGGAGAAAGCAGGGGAUCGUAAGACCUUGCGCGUUAGGAGCGGCCGAUGGCGGAUUAGCUAGUUGGUAGGGUAAAGGCCUACCAAGGCGACGAUCCGUAGCGGGUCUGAGAGGACGACCCGCCACACUGGAACUGAGACACGGUCCAGACUCCUACGGGAGGCAGCAGUGGGGAAUUUUGGACAAUGGGCGAAAGCCUGAUCCAGCCAUUCCGCGUGCAGGAUGAAGGCCCUCGGGUUGUAAACUGCUUUUGUACAGAACGAAAAGGUUUCUACUAAUACUAGGAGCUCAUGACGGUACUGUAAGAAUAAGCACCGGCUAACUACGUGCCAGCAGCCGCGGUAA
RNAcentral lists this ribosomal RNA (502 nucleotides) under uncultured bacterium. RNAcentral describes it as "partial 16S ribosomal RNA". It matches the Rfam family "Bacterial small subunit ribosomal RNA", at positions 30 to 523 of the family's 1533-position model. The record is from RNAcentral.